Molecule: ribosomal RNA, 265 nt
Filed under: uncultured prokaryote
Description: partial 16S ribosomal RNA
Rfam family: Bacterial small subunit ribosomal RNA
Source: RNAcentral
UACGUAGGUGGCGAGCGUUGUCCGGAUUUACUGGGCGUAAAGGGAGCGUAGGCGGACUUUUAAGUGAGAUGUGAAAUACCCGGGCUCAACUUGGGUGCUGCAUUUCAAACUGGAAGUCUAGAGUGCAGGAGAGGAGAGUGGAAUUCCUAGUGUAGCGGUGAAAUGCGUAGAUAUUAGGAGGAACACCAGUUGCGAAGGCGGCUCUCUGGACUGUAACUGACACUGAGGCACGAAAGCGUGGGUAGCAAACAGGAUUAGAUACCCU